UCUAACUUUUUAUAAUGAAAUAAUAUUUUUAUUCAUAAUUAUAUUCUUAUAGAAUAUAAUUAUUAAAAAAUAUAUAUAAGUUAUAAU
Molecule: microRNA precursor, 87 nt
Filed under: Cajanus cajan (pigeon pea)
Lineage: Eukaryota; Viridiplantae; Streptophyta; Magnoliopsida; Fabales; Fabaceae
Description: miRNA gene-KK1_050622
Source: RNAcentral